This 253-nucleotide ribosomal RNA is filed under the name uncultured bacterium. RNAcentral's name for it is "partial 16S ribosomal RNA". It matches the Rfam family "Bacterial small subunit ribosomal RNA", at positions 524 to 776 of the family's 1533-position model. The record is from RNAcentral.
UACGAGAGGCCCAAACGUUAUUCGGAAUUACUGGGCUUAAAGAGUUCGUAGGCGGCGCAGAAAGUAGGGUGUGAAAGCCCUCGGCUCAACCGAGGAAUUGCGCUCUAAACUACUGUGCUUGAGGAAGCUAGAGGUGAGCAGAACAGAUGGUGGAGCGGUGAAAUGCGUUGAUAUCGAGAGGAACACCAGUGGCGAAGGCGGCGAUCUGGGAAGAUACUGACGCUGAGGUGCGAAAGCGUGGGGAGCAAACAGG